AGUGGCGAACGGGUGAGUAAUACAUCGGAACGUACCUGAUAGUGGGGGAUAGCCCGGCGAAAGCCGGAUUAAUACCGCAUACGACCUGAGGGUGAAAGCGGGGGAUCGCAAGACCUCGCGCUGUUGGAGCGGCCGAUGGCAGAUUAGGUAGUUGGUGGGGUAAAGGCCUACCAAGCCUACGAUCUGUAGCUGGUUUGAGAGGACGACCAGCCACACUGGGACUGAGACACGGCCCAGACUCCUACGGGAGGCAGCAGUGGGGAAUUUUGGACAAUGGGCGCAAGCCUGAUCCAGCCAUGCCGCGUGCGGGAAGAAGGCCUUCGGGUUGUAAACCGCUUUUGUCAGGGAAGAAAUACUCUGGGCUAAUACCCUGGGGUGAUGACGGUACCUGAAGAAUAAGCACCGGCUAACUACGUGCCAGCAGCCGCGGUAAUACGUAGGGUGCGAGCGUUAAUCGGAAUUACUGGGCGUAAAGCGUGCGCAGGCGGUUGUGUAAGACAGAUGUGAAAUCCCCGGGCUCAACCUGGGAACUGCAUUUGUGACUGCACGGCUUGAGUGCGGCAGAGGGGGAUGGAAUUCCGCGUGUAGCAGUGAAAUGCGUAGAUAU
RNAcentral lists this ribosomal RNA (607 nucleotides) under uncultured bacterium. Its description in RNAcentral is "bacterial SSU rRNA". It matches the Rfam family "Bacterial small subunit ribosomal RNA", at positions 94 to 697 of the family's 1533-position model. The record is from RNAcentral.